This 398-nucleotide long non-coding RNA is filed under the name Ictidomys tridecemlineatus (thirteen-lined ground squirrel). RNAcentral describes it as "lncRNA (ENSSTOG00000029792.1)". The record is from RNAcentral. Lineage: Eukaryota; Metazoa; Chordata; Mammalia; Rodentia; Sciuridae.
CAGUGAGACUUCCUGGCCUCAGAGGGGCUUCGUGUCCUCCGUCCAGGCGGGAGUUUGAAGUCCGGGUGGCUGUCAAGGACCGUGUGCCCACGUCCCCUCUGAAUCCCAGGAUCGUCACCCAGAGUGUCUUCAGUCAGAGCUGAGCCUCCGCCGACUUUGCAGCAGUCCUCACUCACCCUUGGCGUCCCUGCCACCCUGGGAAGAUCCUGUGCCGCUCGAGUCCUGCAGGUUCUGCAGGAAGCUCAGGCUGAAGUCGGCUGUGGUCAGCCGUCUCCUGGGGCUCCUGACUUUGCUGCUUGGUGCCUUGAGAUGGCUUGGUUUUCAAGGAUCAUCUGUGAUGUAUUUUAUUUUUCUUUAAAUCCGACCACUCAUUUUCCUCAGGAGGGUUGUUCAGUGCA